UACGGGGGGGGUAAGCGUUGUUCGGAAUUACUGGGCGUAAAGGGCUCGUAGGCGGCCAACUAAGUCGGAUGUGAAAUCCCCAGGCUUAACCUGGGAACUGCAUCCGAUACUGGAUGGCUUGAAUUCGGGAGAGGGAUGCAGAAUUCCAGGUGUAGCGGUGAAAUGCGUAGAUAUCUGGAGGAAUACCGGUGGCGAAGGCGACAUCCUGGACCGACAUUGACGCUGAUGAGCGAAAGCUAGGGGAGCAAACGGG
This 253-nucleotide ribosomal RNA is filed under the name uncultured bacterium. Its description in RNAcentral is "partial 16S ribosomal RNA". It matches the Rfam family "Bacterial small subunit ribosomal RNA", at positions 524 to 776 of the family's 1533-position model. The record is from RNAcentral.